Long non-coding RNA from Lolium rigidum, 1930 nucleotides. RefSeq lists it as uncharacterized. The record is from RefSeq and is a predicted model, not a curated record. Lineage: Eukaryota; Viridiplantae; Streptophyta; Magnoliopsida; Poales; Poaceae. The transcript is spliced from 3 exons.
GUCAUAUAUCCAAUAUUAUUGUGAUGAAUGUUGUACUUUUUAAUCAGGAAUCGUGCACAAAAUUUUGUUGGUAUCCUGAUUGCCAUUGUGGAAGCCGUGACCUGUGUCCUGUGGGAGCCAACUUGGAACUGGGAAUGGUAUUCUCAUUAUACUUUGUUUGCUGGAUCAUUGUCUUAUGUGAUAUGUCUAGAUAAACUUCUUGCGUGUUGACACACAUUAAUUGUUUCUUGCAGGUUCUAUACAGGAAGUACAGUGGAAAUUUCAUUGUUAACCUUCUCGGCAAAUGGAAAUAAUAUGAAUAUUCUGGUCAUUCUGUUACUACUGGUGGUCUUGCUUACAAUGUGACUGCACCAUCCAGGUUCUUCACCGGCUAUAGAUUACUGCAGUGAGUAUAUUCACUAAUUGGUAACGAAUAGAGAAAAGUAUCUUCACGUGGCAGGGUGUCGCCUUGUUGCAUAUAACCAUCUGGAGUUCAUCACUAAGAAUGUAUCGCCUCUACCUGGAGUUCAACAUUCAAAACCGGGUUGCCUAAAAUUUAGUGGGACCUGAUGCCCAUGUUUCAUAAGCACAUAUGUUUUUAAUACUUUGCUCUAAUAUGUUAUGCCCGUCCAAAAAAUUAUUAUUCUUCCUGCUUUGCCUACUAAACAUGUAUGAUGAUGGCAUAAUGCUUUACUUGGCAUGAUGAUUUGCUUUCUAUUGACUGCUUUGUCCGCACUGACUUCUGUAUACGGCUCAUACAUUACAUGCUAAUCUACACAGCAGCUUGCUUUGGAGAUUUUGUAAUGAAUGAUGGAAGAGGUACUGAAUGAAUUUUAAAGCAUUGCUUAAAGGAUCCAGAUAGUUAUGCUUUGGGUUAGUUUUUUUAUUAGGAUCUCUCUAGGAACUUUUCCCUCUGUAUUGUGUUGUUGCCGCUGCAGGCCAGCAAGACGGUUGGUGUCGAUGAUGAAGAUUGCUUGUUUUGUCUGAUAAUGAAAUGAUUUGGACACAUAUAGAGUAUUACCGCCUUUAGCUUGCAAGGUAUGUUACCAUCCCAUGCCCCAUCUGCUUAGCUAACUUUUUGUGCUGAACUAGGAAUUUGGGAUUAGCUAUUUACAGUUAUCGAAGGAGAUGACCCUCUUACAAGACCUCUGAUUGGUGGAUUCUGUUGUUGUCAGUGUCUUGCAUCAUUCAGAGAAAAGUCAAUUUAUUUUUAGCGUCGUUUGCAUGAAAAUUUAAAUAUAUAACAUGGCAAUAUGUGAAGUGGAACAAUUUAUCAGUCCUCAGAAUGCCAGAUUUGACUCCAUUAACUCUGUAGGCUGCGGCAGUUUUUCAAGCUUCGAUUAUUAGGAGAACAGUGUGAUAGGUGUUAAUCAUACAAAAUACUGAUCUAGCCUCAUCAAUGGUACUUGGGAAAAUAAAAAUUUCAUGCAUUUACCAGUAUAAAGCUCAGAUAACAUUGUUUAAUAUUCUACUCCCUCUGUUCUGUAACUAGCAAUCAAAGUAACCCUACUGUUGUAUUUACUCCCUUGUUUACACAUAUAAGAGCCAUAUUCUAACUGUAUGCCAUGUGGACAUGUGGUACUUUGAUUGCCUGCGCCCAAAAGCAAGGCCACGGCCCAAUUAUGACUCGACGUGUGGACCAAUGUAAAGCACAGAAGCAAGGCCAGCGCCCAGCUCUUGCGAGCCACAUGAGCCUCUCAGGAUUAACCUUACUGUAUCAGUAUCAUUUUCAUACCACGACGAUAAUCUGCAAGACCAGCUUAGUUCAGAGUUUAGGCUGCUCCUGAAUUUCAUUCAUGUGUGCAUCUUUUGUCUAUGUAAACUUGUAAAGCAUGUGUGGCAGCUUAGUUCAGCUUUGAUCCACUUUUCCAUACAUUUUUUUCAUGUAAGAUUGUUGGUUGCUGAAAACAACUAGGUCCCCAUUUGGUAUUUCAUUGGAUACAAACCUGAA